RNAcentral lists this ribosomal RNA (246 nucleotides) under uncultured bacterium. Its description in RNAcentral is "partial 16S ribosomal RNA". It matches the Rfam family "Bacterial small subunit ribosomal RNA", at positions 87 to 334 of the family's 1533-position model. The record is from RNAcentral.
UAUGGCGACCGGCGCACGGGUGAGUAACACGUAUCCAACCUGCCGAUGACUCGGGGAUAGCCUUUCGAAAGAAAGAUUAAUACCCGAUGGCAUAGUUCUUCCGCAUGGUAGAACUAUUAAAGAAUUUCGGUCAUCGAUGGGGAUGCGUUCCAUUAGGUUGUUGGCGGGGUAACGGCCCACCUAGUCUUCGAUGGAUAGGGGUUCUGAGAGGAAGGUCCCCCACAUUGGAACUGAGACACGGUCCAA